CUUUGAGGUUCUAGGCUGAAAAAUCAGUUAAGAUCUGAAUUGGUUUCCCUCUAUAUGUAAUUUGAUUUUUUUCUCUCAUGCCUUUAAGAUUUUAUCUUUAUUCUCUGUGUUAGUCAUUCUAGCAUAAUGUGUCUUGGUGUGGGUCUGCUGUAAUUUUGUACAUUUGGGGGUCCUACAAGCCUCUUGUAUUUGAUUUUUCUGUUCCAUUCUUUAGAUUUUGGAAAUUUUUUACUAUUAUAUAAUUUAAAAAUUAUGCAUUCCUUUGGUUUGUAUCUCUGCUCCUUCAUCUAUUCCAAUAACUCUUAAAUCUGGUCUUUUCAUGUUAUCCCAUAAUUCUUCGAUGUUCUGUUCAUGGUUUCUUACCAUCUUCUCUUCAUGGGCAACUCUACUUUUAAGAUUAUAUAUUUUUUCUUCAUUGUCUGAGGUUCUGUCUUCCAAGUGAUCUACUCUGUUGGUGAUGCUUUUUAUUGAAUUUAUAAUUUGGUACUGAUUCCUUCAUUUUAAGGAUUUCUGCUUAUUUUUUUUUUUCAUGAUCUCUAACUCUUUAUUGAAGUAGUCUUUCACUUCCUGUAUGUUCUUUGAUUUCACUCCUCAUACUGCCCUUUAUUUCACAUAUCAGUUUAACUAUAUGCAAUCUGAACUCCUUCUUGGACAUUUUUUUUUUUACUGUGUUAUCAGUGGCUUCUGUUGUUGAAACAUCUUGUUUUGUUUGGGGCUCUUUAUUUCCUUGUUUUUUCAUGUUGUU
This 745-nucleotide long non-coding RNA is filed under the name Marmota monax (woodchuck). The record is from RNAcentral. Lineage: Eukaryota; Metazoa; Chordata; Mammalia; Rodentia; Sciuridae.